AUUGAACGCUGGCGGCAUGCUUUACACAUGCAAGUCGAACGGGCUGGGGGCAACUCCAGUCAGUGGCGAACGGGUGAGUAAUGCAUCGGAACGUGUCCCGUAGUGGGGGAUAACCCGGCGAAAGCCGGACUAAUACCGCAUAUGCUCUACGGAGGAAAGUGGGGGACCGCAAGGCCUCACGCUAUGGGAGCGGCCGAUGUCCGAUUAGCUUGUUGGUGGGGUAAUGGCCUACCAAGGCGACGAUCGGUAGCUGGUCUGAGAGGAUGAUCAGCCACACUGGGACUGAGACACGGCCCAGACUCCUACGGGAGGCAGCAGUGGGGAAUUUUGGGCAAUGGGCGAAAGCCUGACCCAGCAACGCCGCGUGAAGGAUGAAAUCCCUCGGGAUGUAAACUUCGCAAGAACGGGAAGAAUAAGUGAAAGUUAAUAUCUUUCAUGAUGACGGUACCGUUUGUAAGCUCCGGCUAACUCCGUGCCAGCCGCCG
Molecule: ribosomal RNA, 485 nt
Filed under: uncultured bacterium
Lineage: Bacteria
Description: bacterial SSU rRNA
Rfam family: Bacterial small subunit ribosomal RNA
Source: RNAcentral